UAUCAUGGGCAAUUUUGUCAUUUCAAAUAACUUAGUAAAAUGGAAUGCAAAAGCAAGGGAAUGGGGUAUUCCCCCUCAUUCCAUAAGUUAGUUCAAUCUCUCUCCUCAACCUAACUCCUCAACCUCACUCCUCAACCUCAGUCAUCAUCCCACCCACCGGAGACCCACCCACCAGAACCGGAAGGUUUGAAGCCGGAAUUCGCCGGAAAUUUCGCCGGAAAGAGGCGUAACUGUGUUUUUUCGUGAAUUGAAGCCGAUAGUUUAAUGCAAGUCAGGGGUGGUGGAGGAAGAUUUCACAGCGAAAUGGAUAGAUAACAAUGACAUGUUCGUUGUAUUUUUGCGCGUCGGAUUGCUUUCUUUUGUAACGAUCUAAUGCAAGUGUAAUUUUAAGUACCUCACUUAACAUUCUAAUGGUUGUAUGGAUAAUGUUAAGUACUUUGUAUGAUUAUGGUUUUAUGAAUAUGUGAACUUAUCAUUUUGUAUUUAAAAUGAAGCAUCAUAUUGUGUUUAUCAUUUCCGCUAUAUUGUCAACAACAUAUCUAAUGGUGUCAAAAUUGCAACAUAUUUUGUU
Molecule: long non-coding RNA, 571 nt
Organism: Beta vulgaris subsp. vulgaris (sugar beet)
Lineage: Eukaryota; Viridiplantae; Streptophyta; Magnoliopsida; Caryophyllales; Amaranthaceae
Exons: 2
Source: RefSeq, a predicted model, not a curated record